RNAcentral lists this ribosomal RNA (74 nucleotides) under Helcogramma nesion. RNAcentral describes it as "partial 16S rRNA". Lineage: Eukaryota; Metazoa; Chordata; Actinopteri; Blenniiformes; Tripterygiidae. The record is from RNAcentral.
CGCUCAACCGCUAGCCUAGCACCACCCCCAACCGCCAACUAUACAUACCCCCUCACGCACUGUUGCAUCCAAGC